RNAcentral lists this ribosomal RNA (345 nucleotides) under uncultured archaeon. RNAcentral describes it as "bacterial SSU rRNA". It matches the Rfam family "Archaeal small subunit ribosomal RNA", at positions 691 to 1035 of the family's 1478-position model. The record is from RNAcentral.
CCGACGGUGAGGGACGAAGCCCUGGGGCGCAAACGGGAUUAGAUACCCCGGUAGUCCAGGGUGUAAACGCUGCGGGCUUGGUGUUGGGGGUCCUUUGAGGGCGCCCAGUGCCGGAGAGAAGUUGUUAAGCCUGCUGCUUGGGGAGUACGUCCGCAAGGAUGAAACUUAGAGGAAUUGGCGGGGGAGCACCGCAACGGGAGGAGCGUGCGGUUCAAUUGGAUUCAACACCGGACAACUCACCAGGAGCGACGGUUACAUGAAGGCCAGGCUGAUGACCUUGCCUGAUUUUCCGAGAGGUGGUGCAUGGCCGUCGUCAGUUCGUACCGUAAGGCGUUCUCUUAAGUG